AUUGAACGCUGGCGGCAUGCUUUACACAUGCAAGUCGAACGGCAGCGCGGGCUUCGGCCUGGCGGCGAGUGGCGAACGGGUGAGUAAUGCAUCGGAACGUGCCCAGUAGUGGGGGAUAGCCCGGCGAAAGCCGGAUUAAUACCGCAUACGACCUGAGGGUGAAAGCGGGGGACCGAAAGGCCUCGCGCUAUUGGAGCGGCCGAUGUCGGAUUAGCUAGUUGGUGGGGUAAAGGCUUACCAAGGCGACGAUCCGUAGCUGGUCUGAGAGGACGACCAGCCACACUGGGACUGAGACACGGCCCAGACUCCUACGGGAGGCAGCAGUGGGGAAUUUUGGACAAUAGGGGCAACCCUGAUCCAGCCAUGCCGCGUGCGGGAAGAAGGCCUUCGGGUUGUAAACCGCUUUUGUUCGGGAAGAAAUCCUCUGGGCUAAUACCCCGGGGGGAUGACGGUACCGGAAGAAUAAGCACCGGCUAACUACGUG
RNAcentral lists this ribosomal RNA (484 nucleotides) under uncultured bacterium. RNAcentral's name for it is "partial 16S ribosomal RNA". It matches the Rfam family "Bacterial small subunit ribosomal RNA", at positions 29 to 507 of the family's 1533-position model. The record is from RNAcentral.